RNAcentral lists this ribosomal RNA (398 nucleotides) under uncultured bacterium. Its description in RNAcentral is "partial 16S ribosomal RNA". It matches the Rfam family "Bacterial small subunit ribosomal RNA", at positions 523 to 918 of the family's 1533-position model. The record is from RNAcentral.
AUACGUAGGGUGCGAGCGUUGUCCGGAAUUACUGGGCGUAAAGAGCUCGUAGGUGGUUUGUCGCGUCGUCUGUGAAAUUCCGGGGCUUAACUCCGGGCGUGCAGGCGAUACGGGCAUAACUUGAGUACUGUAGGGGAGACUGGAAUUCCUGGUGUAGCGGUGAAAUGCGCAGAUAUCAGGAGGAACACCGGUGGCGAAGGCGGGUCUCGGGGCAGUAACUGACGCUGAGGAGCGAAAGCAUGGGUAGCGAACAGGAUUAGAUCCCCUGGUAGUCCAUGCCGUAAACGGUGGGCGCUAGGUGUAGGGGUCUUCCACGACUUCUGUGCCGUAGCUAACGCAUUAAGCGCCCCGCCUGGGGAGUACGGCCGCAAGGCUAAAACUCAAAUGAAUUGACGGGG